GAUGAACGCUAGCUACAGGCUUAACACAUGCAAGUCGAGGGGUAGCAGGGUAGCAAUACCGCUGACGACCGGCGCACGGGUGAGUAACACGUAUCCAACCUUCCCAUAACUCGGGGAUAGCCUUUCGAAAGAAAGAUUAAUACCCGAUAGUACUUUUUUGAGGCAUCUUGAGAAAGUUAAAGAUUUAUUGGUUAUGGAUGGGGAUGCGUUCCAUUAGAUUGUUGGUGAGGUAACGGCUCACCAAGUCUUCGAUGGGUAGGGGUUCUGAGAGGAAGGUCCCCCACAUUGGUACUGAGACACGGACCAAACUCCUACGGGAGGCAGCAGUGAGGAAUAUUGGUCAAUGGGCGAGAGCCUGAACCAGCCAAGUAGCGUGAAGGAUGAAGGUCCUAUGGAUUGUAAACUUCUUUUAUAGUAGAAUAAAGUGAUCCACGUGUGGAUUUUUGUAUGUAUACUAUGAAUAAGGAUCGGCUAACUCCGUG
Molecule: ribosomal RNA, 482 nt
Filed under: uncultured bacterium
Lineage: Bacteria
Description: bacterial SSU rRNA
Rfam family: Bacterial small subunit ribosomal RNA
Source: RNAcentral